Oncorhynchus keta (chum salmon) is the source of this 559-nucleotide long non-coding RNA. RefSeq lists it as uncharacterized. The record is from RefSeq and is a predicted model, not a curated record. NCBI's taxonomy places the organism in Eukaryota, Metazoa, Chordata, Actinopteri, Salmoniformes, Salmonidae. The transcript is spliced from 3 exons.
AACAAAGUAGGAAAAAAUAAGGAACCCGCACACUGCUCUUGACAGUCUUGACGAAGGCCGUGAGGCCGAUACGUAAAGCUCUGAUGAAGGAGGUGAGUUCAUUAUGUAAAACUCUGACGAAGGCCAUGAGGUCGAUACGUAAAGCUCUGACGAAGGCCGUGAGGUCGAUACGUAAAGCUCUGACGAAGUCCGUGAGGUCGAUAUGUAAAACUCUGACGAAGGAGGUGAGGUCGAUACGUAAAGCUCUGACGAAGGCGGUGAGGUCGAUAUGUAAAACUCUGACGAAGGCCGUGAGGUCGAUACGUAAAGCUCUGAUGAAGGAGGUGAGUUCAUUAUGUAAAACUCUGACGAAGGCCAUGAGGUCGAUACGUAAAGCUCUGAUGAAGGAGGUGAGGUCAUUAUGUAAAACUCUGACGAAGGCCAUGAGGUCGAUACGUAAAGCUCUGACGAAGGCCGUGAGGUCGAUACGUAAAGCUCUGACGAAGUCCGUGAGGUCGAUAUGUAAAACUCUGACGAAGGAGGUGAGGUCGAUACGUAAAACUCUGACGAAGGAGGUGAG